UACGGGGGGAGCAAGCGUUGUUCGGAUUUACUGGGCGUAAAGGGCGCGUAGGCGGUCGUGACAAGUCACUUGUGAAAUCUCCGGGCUUAACUCGGAACGGCCAAGUGAUACUGCUGUGCUAGAGUGCAGAAGGGGCAAUCGGAAUUCUUGGUGUAGCGGUGAAAUGCGUAGAUAUCAAGAGGAACACCUGAGGUGAAGACGGGUUGCUGGGCUGACACUGACGCUGAGGCGCGAAAGCCAGGGGAGCAAACGGG
RNAcentral lists this ribosomal RNA (254 nucleotides) under uncultured bacterium. RNAcentral's name for it is "partial 16S ribosomal RNA". It matches the Rfam family "Bacterial small subunit ribosomal RNA", at positions 524 to 776 of the family's 1533-position model. The record is from RNAcentral.